UACGAAGGGGGCUAGCGUUGCUCGGAAUCACUGGGCGUAAAGCGCACGUAGGCGGCUUUCUAAGUCAGGGGUGAAAUCCUGGAGCUCAACUCCAGAACUGCCUUUGAUACUGGAGAGCUUGAGUCCGGAAGAGGUGAGUGGAACUCCGAGUGUAGAGGUGAAAUUCGUAGAUAUUCGGAAGAACACCAGUGGCGAAGGCGGCUCACUGGCCCGGAACUGACGCUGAGGUGCGAAAGCGUGGGGAGCAAACAGG
Molecule: ribosomal RNA, 253 nt
Filed under: uncultured bacterium
Lineage: Bacteria
Description: partial 16S ribosomal RNA
Rfam family: Bacterial small subunit ribosomal RNA
Source: RNAcentral